Molecule: ribosomal RNA, 764 nt
Filed under: Enterococcus hirae
Lineage: Bacteria; Bacillati; Bacillota; Bacilli; Lactobacillales; Enterococcaceae
Description: bacterial SSU rRNA
Rfam family: Bacterial small subunit ribosomal RNA
Source: RNAcentral
AUGCAGUCGACGCUUCUUUUUCCACCGGAGCUUGCUCCACCGGAAAAAGAGGACGUGGCGAACGGGUGAGUAACACUGUGGGUAACCUGCCCAUCAGAACUGGGGAUAACACUUGGAAACAGGUGCUAAUACCGUAUAACAAUCGAAACCGCAUGGUUUUGAUUUGAAAGGCGCUUUCGGGUGUCGCUGAUGGAUGGACCCGCGGUGCAUUAGCUAGUUGGUGAGGUAACGGCUCACCAAGGCGACGAUGCAUAGCCGACCUGAGAGGGUGAUCGGCCACAUUGGGACUGAGACACGGCCCAAACUCCUACGGGAGCGCAGCAGUAGGGAAUCUUCGGCAAUGGACGAAAGUCUGACCGAGCAACGCCGCGUGAGUGAAGAAGGUUUUCGGAUCGUAAAACUCUGUUGUUAGAGAAGAACAAGGAUGAGAGUAACUGUUCAUCCCUUGACGGUAUCUAACCAGAGGAAGCCACGGCUAACUACGUGCCAGCAGCCGCGGUAAUACGUAGGUGGCAAGCGUUGUCCGGAUUUAUUGGGCGUAAAGCGAGCGCAGGCGGUUUCUUAAGUCUGAUGUGAAAGCCCCCGGCUCAACCGGGGAGGGUCAUUGGAAACUGGGAGACUUGAGUGCAUGAAGAGGAGAGUGGAAUUCCAUGUGUAGCGGUGAAAUGCGUAGAUAUAUGGAGGAACACCAGUGGCGAAGGCGGCUCUCUGGUCUGUAACUGACGCUGAGGCUCGAAAGCGUGGGGAGCAAACAGGAUUAGAUA